AUGAGGCAGGAGACAGCCAGGAGCCUCAGAGAAGAGAGGAACUUUGGAGAGCAGGUGAAGACAGGCACGGUCACCCUGAGAACCCACAAAGCGCAGGGGCAGAGCCCUAGGAACCUGGGCUCUGGCAAGGGGCUGAGACAAAGGGCCUGGGGCCAGCCGUGUCUCACAGCAAGCUCUCUUGCUACUGCCUCUCUUUCAGGAAGCACCACAGCCCCAUCCGUCUUCCCCUUGGCUCCCAGCUGUGGAGCCCAUUCUGGCUCCACAGUGUCCCUGGGCUGCCUGGUCAGCGGCUACUUCCCCGAGCCGGUCACUGUGUCAUGGAACUCCGGAGCCUUGACCAGCGGUGUGCGCACCUUCCCAUCCGUUCUGCGCUCAGGGCUCUACUCGCUCAGCAGCAUGGUGACGGUGCCCUCCAGCACCUGGCCCAGCCAGACUGUCACCUGCAAUGUAGCCCACCCGGCCAGCAACACGAAGGUGGACAAGACCAUUGGUAAGAAGAUGACCCGAGAGAGGGAGGGAGGGAGCGAGGGACCCCAGGAGGGAGGCCCCCAGGAGUGAGGCUUAGGGUCAGCC
Molecule: non-coding RNA, 573 nt
Organism: Perognathus longimembris pacificus (Pacific pocket mouse)
Lineage: Eukaryota; Metazoa; Chordata; Mammalia; Rodentia; Heteromyidae
Source: the annotation of a RefSeq genome assembly